CAAGGACUGGGUGGUGGAAGUUAAGCCUCUAGCAACAAUUGUUCUCACUCAUGGGUGACUGAGUGCUGCUCUCAGCUGUUGCGAAUAUUUGUUUCCAGAGAAUGACCCAGUAUAUAGCUGUAAGCUGUAAGGGAUUGGCCUUCCCUCUGCUGCUCCAGGGUUUAAGAGCUACCUGGGAAGCUCCCAGCCCACUAGAUGCCUACAGCAACUUGCUCAGCCACUGCUGUGUAAUCUUUACAGGCAACCAGUCAGCCACAGAUGGUGACCCUGAGAGGCAGACACUGGAAAACCCACUGCCUGCCCAGGGGCCUCUCGUGGGGGCCCUGAAGGGAUGCCCUCUCUCUGCCAGACACGGCCGUGAGAUUAUCUGUGGGCCUGGAGAAGGAGAGAAAGAGCCUCGCUUUGGUUCAACAAGUGGUCCCUGGGGUAACGAGUCUCUCCUGCUCCUGUAAGUAUUCCCCCCCCCCUCACAGGAAGGGUGCUGUCUUGGCAGGCAAUGGCACGGCACAUUUUCCUUAUUUGUUAAUUGCCCCAAUAAAUAAACAAACAAACAAAUAAAUAAAUAAAUCUUUCUCUUUUGGGAACAUACCUCACGAUGGUCAUCGCCGAAAGAAUGGCAGCCUGCAAAGCCACUGCCUCUGCCACACUCUCUCCAAGGCUUUCCCUUACUGCAAACCACUCAGCACUCAUUAACCCCUUCCAGUAUCAAAAACCAAUUACCUUCCUUAAUGACCUUUUCUCCUCCUUACACAUCAGCUAAGUGCAAGUAGAUGAACGUAUCCACCCAGCUUUAUACACACCCUACGGAAAGAGAUGUCCAAAAUUAAGAAGAAGUCAUACAUUAUGUCAAGAAUAGCAAAGACACUACGUUUUCAUCUUCUCCACUGGGACCGAUGCUUGCUGGCAGAAGGACAUGCUGGGGCUGGCUGAGUGACAAGUUUCUGUGCUCAGCUCUUAGCUGAAGUAUCAGAGUAAUUUCCAACUCUGCGUGUAAUGUAACCGCUGCUUUCAUUGCAGGGCUGCAGUGAGUGAAACCAGAACCUCAUUUUCAGAUAACUUUCAAAGACAGAGAUGCGACAUCAGGAUGACAAAUAUUGAAUACGGUCAAAAAUGCCAUAAAUAGUAUCAUUAUUGAAUGUUAGAUAGUUUUAAAAAGCUAGUAAAUACCAGUGUUUACUGCAUGUGACUUUUUAGGGGUUAUUUGCAUUGCUCCUUCUUUUCUAGCCCAUGCACAAAGCCAUCUGCUAACUGUAAAAUCUGAUUUAGUUUGCUUAAGGAGAUCAGCUACAACUUUAAGGCAGCAAUUAGGUAUAUCUGCUUUUGCUAGAAAUCAGCACAGAAGGGAUUUUGCUUUCAGUUACCCUGCUUAACAGCUUGUAACUUGCCACAGCAUCACUGCAGAAAUAAAUCAUCUGCUAGCAAAGGAAACACCGGACAUCGUAUAAGGUUUCUCUUCCAUUCCUGCUGUUAACUUAACUUUGUCUUAUUUGAGGUAAAUGAAUCAUAAUGUCUUCCUUUUGAAAUCUUUGUGCUGCAUCAUACAUACUCCAGUUGUUGUUCUUACUCACACUCUGGCCACAUCAGCCCCAUAAAAUGGCUAAUUAAUUCUGUGCUCUGAUACCUAUCUUCUCUGCCACCAGUGGAACGUACAACAUUGAAUAUUUAUUGCUGUCAAUGCCUAAGAAAUGAGCAGCUCUGGAGUUAUUAAAGAGAAAAUGACACACAGGACUUUUAAUGACGCUCCAUGUAUUGAUGUGCUGCUGACCACGGCACGUAGUAAGAGGCCAUUAUAACUGGCUUCGCUAGAUUUUCACACAGAGGUCAGAUACUCUCAAUCCUUUUGCCAAGGAAUGAGGGAGGAAAGCAUGGCACCCUCCUCCCCGCAUACCUGCCUGAAGGCUAAGGACGCAGCAACCUUGGUGGUGUUACACUGACAGCUCAUUCAAAAAAGCCAGCAAAGGAGCUUUUGAAAAUAGACCCUAAUUUUAAGGAUAUAGUGGAAUGUUUUGAAGAGAGAGAGGAGCCUUCCCUCACUCAGAUUUUGUCUCUGACUCAGCUGAUAGUUAUGCUUUUGUAUGAAAGCCAGGGAACAGACCAGCUGAAGUGGGAAAUUGGAACUCUGUGUCCAAGUAUCAGGGCAAUUUGCUGCAGCACUACACUCAUAAGAUUCACUUUUUUUUUUUUACAGCAAAUGUGAAUGGCAGAAAAGAUCUGCAUCAUGAACCUGAGAUCAGGCUGUAUAUUCUGUACCUGUACCAGCGGCUCCAGGGGACAAGACUGGGACAGCUUGUACUCAGCCUGUUUUCAUGAACAAACAGCCUCACGGGUGAUAGAGGUUACAGCAACCAGAACAAAGUCAAUUGUGGUCAAACACAAAUUUUGUUAAUGCAGUUCUUAUUUCACAGAAACCUCUUGCUAAACACUGAAAAGAAAAUCUUGCUGUUCUGCAGCAGGUUUGUGUGAUGGAACUGCUACGCUCCUAUGAAAUAACCUGACAAAGUUGCAUAGGAAAUGGCAGCUGUUGAAGCUUUUUGUAAGGCACAUAGAAAAAUAUCAUGCACACGAAUUUUGAAAAGCCACAGGAGGUGUAGUUGUCAAGUUUGUAAGUGUCAAGUCUGAUUUAUCCCAGUACAAUUCAUGAGAACCGAACAGUUUUGUCAUCUUUAAAAAGUGUUGUUUUGUUCAUACUAUUCAAAAGCUGAACUCUUACAUUUCUGAAUCCUUCUAGUGUCUUUGAGAUGUUUAAAAACAUCGGAGGCAAAGAUGCUUACAUGAUUAGACUACACCGUGGAUGUAGCCUUCAGCGAUUUGUAAGACUUGGCCAUUCUUCAUUCACAACAGAAGAAAUGUCUUUUCUGUCAGAACAGAAGCAAUAUAUUUAAAUCUUUUUAUGUGAAAUAGUCUUGCGUGAUUCUCUCCCUAUAGGGCUUAUUGUUUUUAGUCUAUUAAAUCAAGAGGCAAGAACAAAGCAUUUGCCAUUAUGUUUACUUAAAACUGUCACUUGGCUUCAAACCUGUCUCUGAUGCAUGAUGAAUUGGAUAUAACAAGACGUAACCGCAAAGAAAACACAUCUUACAUAUUCAUCACUGCCUCAGCCGUCAAAGUCAUACUCAGUAACUCUUGAAUUGAAUACUCAAUACUCCUGGCCUCAAGUUAGUAACAAUAAACUCCCCCUCUAAUUUUGAAAUAAUGGAAGGCUCUCCUUUAUCUACUGAUUAGUAAGAAAUAAGGAAGAGACUUUGAUGUCCCCCCCUUGGAAUUGUUGUAAUAUUUUAGCUUAAGCCUCCUGACCUGAUUUGGAGGGCUUCAGGUCAUGAAGGAUUAAAAUUUUCUCAUAACUGAAAAGCAGUUCUCUGCUGCUACCUCCUUUUGAGAUUCUUCUCUUAUCUCCAAGGUCAGGUGAAGACAUCAAGGGACUGGAAAUAUGCUCUGUCUGUGAGAUUGCUCAAGAGGACCUUGUAGUGUUCUCCCACAUAAAAACCUCAUUUAUAUCUUCUUAAUUCAAGCAAUGUGCUCAGGCUUAGAAAAAAAUGGCAAAGUAACAGCCUCCAGCAGCUUUUAAACUGGUUGUACUUAUCUGAUUUUCAAGCUGUUUCAAACAUCUUUAAUUGCUUUGGUUAAUUUUAACAACUGUUUUCACAAGAUACUAUUUCUCCAGAGCAGCUUUCUCUCCCUGUUAUGUCUAGUUUAGAUUUUCAUGCCUGGUGAGUUAUUUGCAAGAUCCACUUCCUGGUUUCCUUCAGAAAUUGAGGAUUUCCCUUACACAUUAAUUCUUCAUCACUGCUUUGUUCUCAUUACACUCACUGUUAAGGGAACAUUUCCUUUCCCUAGAUGAUACAGGCAUGUAAAUAAGCUCUUUGGUUAAAUGUCUGUGCAUCACAGACUGGCAUCCCUUGGUUAGCUCCUAAGGAAAUUAUGCUCUGCAUUCCCUUUUGUGCUGUGCUGUGUUUUUUGUUGUUGUUGUUGUUGUUUUCUUCAUUAGAGUGAUCAUUCAUUCAGAGAAAAAAACUGGUCUGAAACAGUGCUCUAAGAGAUCAUUUUGGAACAUGAAGUUAUUGCUUCUGCUACGUUUAGAUUACAUGUAUAUAAACCUAAUAUGUUAUUUCUUCCAACUGUUAAGAGAAAUCAGUGGAAACAGCUGCACAGAUUUCAGUGGGGUUUGUCCUCUAUCGUCUUGCUCCCCGAAAUAGUUCAGUGACAACCUCGUCCUUACCACUCAGAAGCACCCCAGCCUGGACAAGCUCUGCGUUGGUGCCCUUCUCAUUUUUCUGACUGAAUCACCCAGAAAAGAGGCGCCCUGCAGCCCCAGCGUGACAUCCCCUAAAUCAUGGGGAGGACCUUUGACAGAGAAAAAAAUAUUUAAACAUUACGAAUCUCUGGGCACACGUGCUUCAUUUCUUCAGGCUGUUGCUGAGACUCAAAGGUUUUGUAAAUUUGUCUAACUACCUUGAUUGCGCAGCACGACUCAAUUACAAACAGGCAUGUGAAUACAAGAGGUUUUCUUGCAAACAUCACAUUUAUGCAUUAAACAGGAAAAUCAGAGCAGAAGGCCUUGAAAGACACACAGAUUUCAAAAUUCCCUGGAGAACAGAGAAAAUUCUUUGCAAAGCUAUAUUACCAAAACACAGGGACUGUCUGGUAAAGGAAAAUAUUUGAUGUCAGGUCAAAGCACACGCAUUUUACUUGUGAGUAUGAUACAAAAACAAACUUCACAUAUCAUUUACUCUUUGUUCACACCAUUAAAGAGAGAAAGGACUGGAAUUACAGCAAAAGCUGUAAUGAAGUUACCUACAGGUUCUACCUUAAAGCUCUUCCUUCAUUUUCCUAUCAGUUUCUGAAGCUUUCAUACAUUACUCUAAAACUUCAUUUGUUUCUAUAAUCAAUUUCUUUUGAAAGACAAUUUCUAGAGUAUGGAAUGUGUAAAAAAAACAUGCUAAAAAUAUGAAAAUAUGGGAAAAAAAUAUAUUUUUUUUUGACAGCCAGUAAUGUUUCAAACCGACCAGUGGUUUUGCAGUGGAAAAUGUGGUCCCUAGCUAGAUAAUGAAUUCCAACAGAAUCUUGUAUUUUUUAGCUGUACUUAUCCUAACUUGGGAUAUUUGCAAUUCCACAUUUUUGUGUGCACAGCAGUAAUCAGGGGACACUUCCAGUUAAGCCAACUGUUUCUGAGGGGAAAAAAAAAAAAAAAAGCCAACCUUGAUACUAGCCCUCCCAGUGUAACAGAAUAUCUGAGCUGGCUGAGCAGUGAGUGAGGCGUCAUGGGGAGUGCCGUAGUUCAGAGGUCUGGAGGACAAACGUACCCAGCUGAACUGUGACUCAGACAGAGGCACUCAGGGCAGCGGUGGGUAAGAACGCACUUCUAGGGCACAGCAGAUUCUACAAAGUGAAAUGUUUUACACAAAUCAUCUCAUUUGUCCGUCAGAGUCAAGUAGUAUAUGACUAGGAAAAAGUUAGGAUGUCUCUGCUGCUGGCGGGUAAAUAAGAACCGUAGGCUCUAGGAAAAAAUGAAGUUAUCUUUGUGCUAAAGCAACGUGAAUUAAUAGUAUGCUCUCUGUUCUGCACAAGGAUUGAUGUGUGACCAACUCUACAUAGGUUGUAUCUUCCACUGUUUGUAUCCUAGUGUUACAGAACAAAAUUAAACUGUGUUCCUCUACUGCUUUUUGGUGGUGGCAGCUGGUUAAUUGGUUUGUAUUUUGAACAAAGUUGCAGAAUUGAUCUUGCCUGACUUUGAAGAGAACAGGGACCAUUUUGCUUUCCAGUUUCCCAUCCUGGUUCAUAGCAGGACCACACAGUUUUAUAGCAUCACAGAUGAGCACAGGCACCCUGCACUACAGCAAUGAGAAUGUGGGAGGGGGAAGGAACUGCUUCUGCUGCCAGGGUUUUGUCUUCUGUUUGUAAUUUGCCUGCUCAUCUUAAACAUGGAUAAGGGGGCAGCUUAGCUAACAAAACCAUGAAGAGUGCAACCGUGGCACAUGAGAGCAUUGAUCGUAUACCCAACUUCCCCAACCUUUUGUUUCUUUAGCUUUGUGUAGAUCAUAGCAUCCCAAAUCAUGUUCUGCUGGAGGGUCUUCAAAACUCCAUGGGUCUUGCUGAGCCCUUAAACACACUUGCCAUGAUGGGAAGGUCCUCACAGUGCCCUGAGUACCACUGCCAUGUAGUGCUUAGUGACAUGGUUUAGUGGGUGACAUUGGUGGUAGGGGGGUGAUUGGACCAGAUGAUCUUGCAGGUUUUCCCCAACCUUAACGAUUCUGCGAAUAUUCAAAGGUUCCCAUUUAUUUUGAAAAGCCAAAACCUGAUCUUGUUUGAGACACCUGAUAAAGUUCAACUUCAGUAAACCAAUUUGACCCAAAUUGUUUGUGGAGAUAAUGUGUAACAGCAGUCUUCACACAGAUCUGGUCUAUGUUACUUAUUAUCUUGUAAGAGUACUUUGUUGCAUUAGACAUUAUAAAAACAUGUAAUACAGUGUUUUUUCCUUUGCUGUGAAGGAAAUUGUGAUAGUCAUUACCUUUUGCAGCAAAUCUAAUUGCAGAAAGUGUUCCUAUCACAAUACUCACAAUUAAUAUUUCCAUAAGAACAGCUAAACUACAAGAUGUAGGGGAAUUGAUUAUUAAUAUACAUGUACAUUGGAUUAAAUCUAAUUGGCAAGUGUAACAGAGGCUAUUCAUACAUGGGAGCUUCAUGUGUACUUAAGCUUACUCAUUCAUUCUUCAUCCUCAAUUCUGGAAAAACACUUGGAUCACUUAAAGAUAUUUAAAUACCCUGGGCUUUUCCAGGAACUGUUGGAGUAUGGUGCAUAGGCAAAAGAGAGAGAGAGGAAAAUCUUGGAGCACAGACAGCUGACUAAUGGCAGUGCAAGGUGUGAAAAAAAUACAGGGGUAUGAGCAAGGGAAUGGAAAUCAGUUAUCUGAGUCAUCAGCAGAGCAAGAUUUCAAACAUUCAUUUUUAAAUAAAAGCAAUUGUGAUUAAAUAGGACCUUCAUUUUAUUCUAUUUAUCAAGGUAAAAGUCAGAAAAGGUGUAAAUCCUUUAUGUGGUAAUCAGGCUCCUGCUUGUACUUGUUUCACUGUGUGAAUAAAUAAAUAAAUUAAUUAAAUUAAAAAAAUCCUAAAAUGAAUCCUGAUAAACUCUUUGGUAAUAAAUGAAGUGUCUUAGGAGAGAACUUAUUACGAUUUAUUCAUAAAACCACCUCGUUUUCCCAAUUUUGGCAGCAGACACAACGAAGCUUUACAAUACAUAAGUCUUUAACAUUUUAGUUGUUAUGAGAUGAAAUUGCCAUUUAUCUGCUAUUAAUAAGACUGCGUUUAUUAUACGAUGGUAGCAAAUACCACUGGUAAUAGAAACAGCUAAUCCACAGAUGUUCCAAAGAUACCUGCUGGACUGUUCACGACACUGAUAGACGAAAUGUGUUACCUUUCUAAAGGUAAAUUUUCUAAAGGUAAUUUUUUU
Non-coding RNA from Anas platyrhynchos (mallard), 7441 nucleotides. Lineage: Eukaryota; Metazoa; Chordata; Aves; Anseriformes; Anatidae. The record is from RefSeq and is a predicted model, not a curated record.